RNAcentral lists this ribosomal RNA (468 nucleotides) under uncultured bacterium. Its description in RNAcentral is "partial 16S ribosomal RNA". It matches the Rfam family "Bacterial small subunit ribosomal RNA", at positions 28 to 507 of the family's 1533-position model. The record is from RNAcentral.
GACGAACGCUGGCGGCGUGCUUAACACAUGCAAGUCGAACGGAAAGGCCCUGCUUUUGUGGGGUGCUCGAGUGGCGAACGGGUGAGUAACACGUGAGUAACCUGCCCUUGACUUUGGGAUAACUUCAGGAAACUGGGGCUAAUACCGGAUAGGAGCUCCUGCUGCAUGGUGGGGGUUGGAAAGUUUCGGCGGUUGGGGAUGGACUCGCGGCUUAUCAGCUUGUUGGUGGGGUAGUGGCUUACCAAGGCUUUGACGGGUAGCCGGCCUGAGAGGGUGACCGGCCACAUUGGGACUGGGAUAGGGCCCAGACUCCUACGGGAGGAAGCAGUGGGGAAAAUUGCACAAUGGGCGGAAGCCUGAUGCAGCAACGCCGCGUGCGGGAUGACGGCCUUCGGGUUGUAAACCGCUUUCGCCUGUGACGAAGCGUGAGUGACGGUAAUGGGUAAAGAAGCACCGGCUAACUACGUG